GUGCCAGCCGCCGCGGUAAUACAUAGGGGGCGAGCGUUAUCCGGAAUUACUGGGCGUAAAGGGUGCGUAGGCGGUUUCUUAAGUCUAGUGUGAAAGCCCACGGCUUAACCGUGGAGGGUCAUUAGAAACUGGGAGACUUGAGUACAGCAGAGGUAAGUGGAAUUUCUAGUGGAGCGGUGAAAUGCGUAGAUAUUAGAAGGAACACCAGUGGCGAAGGCGGCUUACUGGGCUGGAACUGACGCUGAGGCACGAAAGCGUGGGGAGCAAACAGGAUUAGAUACCCUGGUAGUCCACGCCGUAAACGAUGAGCACUAAGUAUCGGGUGAGAACUCGGUGCUGCAGUUAACGCAUUAAGUGCUCCGCCUGGGGAGUACGGUCGCAAGACUGAAACUCAAAUGAAUUGACGG
Molecule: ribosomal RNA, 407 nt
Filed under: uncultured bacterium
Lineage: Bacteria
Description: bacterial SSU rRNA
Rfam family: Bacterial small subunit ribosomal RNA
Source: RNAcentral